AUAUUUAGCUACUAUGCAAUUUGGUUAUUAGUAAUUUGAUUUUGUUGUUCGUAUAGGUUGUAGCAUAUUUUGCAAGUAGUAUGAGAUUUGCAUUGAUUAUCGUUUAUCAAACAGAUGGGUUUGCUUUAGAAUUUAAAAUUAAAUACAAAAACGAACAAGAAUAGAAGACUGGUAAAUUGGACAUUGCAAUAACCACUUUACUAUCAUUGUUGUUUUCGAAGCUUAGCUAAGAAGAGUAUAAAGUUGGAUAUUAUGUGAUUUGUAGUUGCAUGGGAUGAUUUUUAUGUUCAGAAGUUCAUUGCUGGAUAGGUAUUCUCCAGCGAGGUUGAUCAACUUCUCCUUUUGUCAACAUUUGGUGAUUGCAUUGGACUUCUACUUUACUGCUUGAUUGUUUUAUCUAAUUCUAUUUAUGUAUUCACGUUUUUCUUCUCUUUUUUCCCUAAUUGUCUUUAUUUUUUCUGGUGGUUGGUAAAUUUUCUAUUGUUAAUCUUAACAUCUAUAAUGGUAUUCAAUUGGCAAAUAUGUUGGGCAUAUGAUAGCUGUUGGCUUGAGAAUUAUGGGCAUUAUCUUUUUCCAUGUGAUAGCUGUUGGCUUUGUAGUUAUCUAUUGGUUCAUUUUGUGAGAAGUCUGCUUCUUGUUUUGCUGUUCUGUUGUGACAUUCCAGAAGCAUUGUUCCAUCACCAGGUGCAGUCUGGUUUUGCAUAUAUAAGAGAUAUGAUGACAUCUAUCUUGACUCUCUCCAGAUAGAUUAUAAAGCCUGGUGACUGAUACAUCUGCUUAUUUUCUACAUAAUACACCUGGUCUCUUUAUGUAUUCAUUUGUUGUCUUUCAGAUCUUCUGAACAUUGUUCUCCUCGAUUUUUUGUUGUGUGGCAUCCAAUAGCUUUUUUAUUUCUGAAAUUUUGGGGUGUCUUAGCUUCUGAACCUUAAUUUUGGGUUUUUAAUGUGAUCUUUCAUGAUCAUGGGGUCAUCAAAAUGUCUGUUUUUGUUGGAACUUUCUGUGAUAUACUGAUAAUGAAAUUGGUACAUUCUCUGUUCUAAUGAGUUCAUUACAUCCAUUGUUAUUUUUCACUUGGCUAUUGAAGAGCCUAUAGUUUUUAUGUCCUGAUUUUGGUGUUUUAGUUUUGGUUAAUUUUUCAGAAUUUCCUUUUUUUCUCCUCUUGACAUUGCAUUGGGUGGUAGUGGUACAAAUUAUUUUGUGCUUCAUCUUUGUGAACCAUUGGUAUCAGAAUUUCUGUGGUCUCUUUCCCUUUAUUCAGCUUUUGCUUUUCUUUUCUUUGAGACACAUGCCUGUUUCUCUUAUUCUAUGCUUCAUUUAUUGUUCAAGAAGCUAGGAUGGGGCUAACAGUGAAUGCAGUGAACCUUUGGUUGGUGAUCUCGAGCAAUAAUGGUAUGUAAUUUUGACAGUCUGUUAAAUAUUCACCAAUAGGGUCACUCGGCGAACUGGGUUUUCAAUUCUAUUAUAUUUUGUAGUUGCAGCAAUCUGUAAGUCAUUAUAUUUUGGUUUCUGAAAUUUUGGGAUGUCUUAGUUUCUGAACCUUGAUUAUGGGGUUUAAUGCCGUCCAUCAUGAUGAGCAUGGGCAUUUUUAUAUACUAACUAGGUCAUCAAAAUGUCUGAUUGUAGGAAUAGAUCAUAAAAGUGUCAAAGAACCUAUAGAUUAAUUUUCACAAAAUCCUUUUUUUUUCUUUGAAAUAGAUUUUAGUUGUACAUUGCCUUCAAUUCUAUAUCACAAUUUUUGUUGUUACUUUAUGGACAUUGUAUUGGGUGGUACAAAUUAUGUUGCACUUCAUCAUUGUGAACCAUUGGUACUAAAUCUCUCUGCUGCUCUCUUUUCACUUAUUCAGCUUUUGCUCCUCUCUUUUUCUAAACAUGUGCUCGAUUCUCUUCUAUGCUUUAUCUAUUGUUAAGAAGUUAGGACGAGGCUAACAGUGAAUGUGGUAAACCUUUGGUUGGUGAUCUUGACUAAUAAUGGUAUGUAAUUUUCACUUGUUUGGAUGGUCUGUUAAAUAUUCAUUAAUUGGGUCAUUUUGCAAACAGGU
Molecule: long non-coding RNA, 2039 nt
Filed under: Musa acuminata (dwarf banana)
Lineage: Eukaryota; Viridiplantae; Streptophyta; Magnoliopsida; Zingiberales; Musaceae
Description: long non-coding RNA (MACU_LNC009372)
Source: RNAcentral